UUCUUCUCUCAUUGUUUUCUUUUCUUUGUUUUCCAUUUCAGAAAUUUCUUUAUACUUUUCAACCUCUUGGUUGUUAUCGUUCUUUCUUUCAAAGGAAAUUCACUGAAAUAUCCACCAAAAAUUUGAUUUUGUCUGCUACAUCUUAGAGUGGAAUAGAUUGUUCUACUCCAAAUGAUAGAGAACCCAAUUCAUCAUUUUCUAGGUAAAUUUGACAGAUAUAUAUAUUUAGAAUUUUACACUCUCAAACUCUCUCUAUGUAGUACUUUACAUACUUCAAAAUUCAUCUGCUACCAUUUAAUUAGUUAUUGUAGUGUAACUUAAAAUAUUACACUAAUAUUUUGAUUUAGUUAGUAUUACACUAAUAUUACCCAAGAUAUUUUAAAACUACACUAAUAUUUUGAUUACUGUAGUGUAACCCAAAUAGUGUAGUUUAAUUAGUCACUAUAGUGUAAUUCAUCUGCUAUCAUGAUUAUUUUUGACAAUCUUCUAUAUAGAAACGUGACUAAGGGAACGACCAAGGAAAUUUUUGUCUUUUAACUUUCAAAAAUAUCUCUUACGUGGCAGUAUCGCCUCCACAAUUUACUGUUUUCUGCAGACACUUUUUGAGAAUCAUUUUUUGCAUGAAUAAGAGCCACCUAGCUUUGUAUUGCAGUUUCAUAUUUGCAUAAUCUUCUUCUUUUCUUCUCUCUUUGUCUUCUUUUCUUUGUUUUCCAUUUCAAAAAUUUCUAUAUACUUUUCAACUUCUUGGUUGUUGUCGUUCUUUCUUUCAGAGGCAAUUCACUAGAAUAUCCACCGAAAAUAUAAUUUUGUCAGCUAUAUCUUAGAGUGGAAUAGAUUGUUCUACUACAAAUGAUAGAGAACCCAAUUCAUCAUUUUCUAGGUAAGUUCGACGGAUAUGUAUCUAAAAUUUUAUACUCUCAAACUCUCUCUAUGUAGUACUUUAUAUACUCCAAAGACCGAAUCACAUUCAUCUGCUAUCAUUUAAUUAGUUAUUAUAGUAUAAUUCAAAAUAUUACAAUAAUAUUUUGAUUAGUUAGUAUUACACUAAUAUUACCCAAGAUAUUUUAAUAUUACACUAAUAUUUUGAUUACUGUAGUGUAACCCAAAUAGAGUAGUGUAAGUCAUCUGCUACCAUAAUUAUUUUUAAAAAUCUUCUAUAUAUAAACGUGACUAAGGGAACGAUCAAGGGCAUUUUUGUCUUUUAAUUUUCAAAAAUUUCUCUUACAUGGCAAUAUCUCCUCCACAAUUUACUGUUUUCUGUAGACAUUUUUUGAGAACCAUUGUUUGCACAAAUAAGACCCACCUAGCUUUAUAUUGCAGUUUCAUGUUUGCAUAAUGUUCUUCUUUUAUUCUCUCAUUGUCUUCUUUUCUUUGUUUUUCAUCUUUGAAAUUUCUUUAUACUUUUCAACUUCUUGGUUGUUAUCGUUCUUUCUUUCAAAGGUAAUUCACAAAAAUAUUCACCAAAAAAUUAAUUUUGUCAGCUACAUCUUAAAGUGGAAUAGAUUGUUCUACUCCAAAUGAUAGAGAACCCAAUUCAUUAUUUUCUAGGUAAGUUUGACGGAUAUAUAUCUAGAAUUUAAUACUCUCAAACUCUCUCUAUGUAGUACUUUAUAUACUUCAAAGAUCGAAUCACAUUCAUCUGCUACCAUUUAAUUAGUUAUUGUAGUGUAACUCAAAAUAUUACACUAAUAUUUUGAUUAGUUAGUAUUACAAUAAUAUCACCCACAACAACAACAAUAUACUCAGUGUACUCCUACCUAGUAGGGUCUGAGGAGGGUAGAGUGUACGCAGACCAUACCACUACCUCAGGAGAAGUAGAGAGGUUAUUUUUAAUAAACCCCCGGCUUAGGAUCGAUAACAAUAUAACAAACACAAAAGAUAAGUGCAUAUAACUAGUAUGGUACGCAAGACAAACUAACAGUAUAACAAACAUAAAAAAUAAGUGCAUAUAAACUAGUACGGUAAGCAAAAUAAACUAACACUUCUAGCCACGCACAAGAAACUUCGGAUACAGAGGGGCGCACCCCUACUAUUACCGAUGCACUCCCACCCCUAACCCUCUACCCUAAUUUACGUCCUCCAGACCUUCCUAUCAAGGUUCAUGUCCUCUGUUAGCUGUAAUUGCUCCAUGUCAUGACUAAUCACCUCCCUUCAAUAUUUCUUUGGUCUACUUCUACCCUGUCUAAAACCAUCCAUAGCCAAUGUCUCACACAUCCGUAUAGGGGUAUCAGAACCCCUUCUCAUCAUGUGCUCGAACCAAUAUAACCUUACUUCUCGCAUCUUGUCCUCCGCUGAGGCAACUCUCACCUUCUCUCGAAUAAUAUCAUUCCUUACCCUAUCUUUUCUAGUAUACCCACAUAUCCAUCGCAAUAUUCUUAUCUCCGCCACGUUCAACUUUUGGAUGUGAGAGUUCUUAACUAGCCAGCAUUUCACUCUAUACAACAUAGCCGGCCGAACUAUCACUCUGUAGAACUUACCUUUAAGUUUUAGGGGCACCUUCUUAUCAUAUAGAACUCCCGAAGCUAGCCUCCAUUUCAACCAUCCUACCCUAAUACUAUGCGUGAUAUCCUCAUCAAUCUCACCAUUGCCCUGAAUCAUAGACCCAAAUACUUGAAACUCUCCCUCUUCUGAAUGGCCUGAGAGUCCAGCUUCACAACCACUCCAGCCUCCUGCAACCCAUCACUGAACUUACAUUCCAAGUACUCCUUCUUAGUUCUACUUAACCAAAAUCCUUUAGACUCAACCGUCUGUCUCCAAAUCUCUAACUUAUCAUUAACUCCUCCUCGAGUCUCGUCAAUCAAUACCAUAUCAUCUGCGAAUAACAUACACCAAGGCACCUCUCCUUGAAUAUAUCGCGUCAAAACAUCCAUCACCAAGGCAAAUAAAAAUGGGCUAAGAGUCGAUCCCUGGUGCAACCCUAUCAUGACCAGAAAGUGCUUUGAAUCUCCACCUACCAUCCUAACACGAGUCGUCGCACCAUCAUACAUAUCCUGAAUCGACCUAGUAUACGCCACGGGCACCCCUCUAGCCUCCAAGCACCUCCACAGAAUCUCUCUGAGAACUCUGUCAUAUGCCUUCUUAAAAUUAAUAAACACCAUGUGCAAGCCCUUCUUCCUCUACUGAAACUGCUCCACUCAUCUCCUCACAAGGUGAAUGACCUCAGUGGUCGGUCGACCAGGCUGAAACCAAACUGAUUCUCAGAGAUUGUCACAAUCAUUCUCAUCCUUAACUCUACCACCUUUUCCCAAACCUUCAUGGUAUGGCUCAACAACUUAAUACCUCUAUAGCUGUUGCAACUCUCGAUGUCUCCUUUGUUCUUAUACACUGGAAUCAUCGUACUCCAUCCCCACGCUUCAGGCAUCUUCGCUGCCCUAAAAAUAAUAUCAAACAACCCUGUCAACCACUCCAAACCUUCCCCACUAGUGCUUUUUUAAUAAUCCACUGUAAUCUCGUCUGGCUUCGUCGCCCUACCCUUCCGCAUCCUGUGAAUAUCUCUUUUGACCUCCUCAACAUUGAUAUGCCUACAAUAACCCUAAUCGUGAUACUCCUGAGAUUUUUAUAAGUCUCCCAACACGAAAUCUUUGUCUCCCUCGUCGUUCAAAAGUUUAUGAAAUAUACUAAUAUCACCCAAGAUAUUUUAAUAUUACACUAAUAUUUUAAUUAUUGUAGUGUAACCCAAAUAGUGUAGUUUAAUUAGUUAUUGUAGUGUAAUUCAUCUGCUACCAUAAUUAUUUUUUAAAAUCUUCUAUAUAGAAACGUGACUAAGGGAAUGACCAAGGGCAUUUUUGUCUUUUAACUUUCAAAAAUAUCUCCUACAUGGUAGUAUCUCCUCCAUAAUUUACUAUUUUCUGCAGACACUUUUGAGAACCAUUGUUUGCACAGAUAAGAUUCACCUAGCUUUGUAUUGCAAUUUCAUGUUUGUAUAAUCUUUUUUUUUUCUCUCAUUGUCUUCUUUUCUUUGUUUUUCAUUUUUGAAAUUUUUUUAUACUUUUCAACUUCUUGGUUGUUAUCGUUCUUACUUUCAAAGGCAAUUCACUGAAAUAUCCAUUAAAAAUUUAGUUUUGUUAGCUAUAUCUUAGAGUGGAAUAGAUUGUUCUACUUCAAAUGAUAGAGAACCCAAUUCAUCAUUUUCUAGGUAAAUUUGAGGGAUAUGUUUCUAGAAUUUUAUACUCUCAAACUUUCUCUAUGUAGUACUUUAUAUACUUUAUAGACCGAAUCACAUUCAUCUGCUAUCAUUUAAUUAGUUAUUGUAGUGUAACUCAAAUUAUUACGCUAAUAUUUUGAUUAGCUAGUAUUACACUAAUAUUACCCAAGAUAUUUUAAUAUUGCACUAAUAUUUUGAUUGUAGUGUAACCCAAAUAGUGUAGUUUAAUUAGAUACUGUUGUGUAAUUCAUCUGCUACCAUAAUUAUUUUUGAAAAUCUUCUAAAUAGAAACGUGACUAAGGGAACGACCAAGGGCAUUUUUGUCUUUUAACUUUCAAAAUUAUCUCCUACAUGGCAGUAUCUCCUCCACAAUUUACUGUUUUCUGCAGACACUUUUUGAGAACCAUUGUUUGCACAAAUAAGACCCACCUAACUUUGUAUUGCAGUUUCAUGUUUGUAUAAUCUUCUUCUUUUCUUCUCUCAUUGUCUUCUUUUCUUUGUUUUUCAUUUUUGAAAUUUCUUUAUACUUUCAACUUCUUGGUUGUUAUGAUUCUUUUUUUCAAAGCCAAUUCACUGGAAUAUCCACCGAAAAUUUAGUUUUGUUAGCUACAUCUUAGAGUGGAAUAGAUUGUUCCACUCCAAAUGAUAGAGAACUAAUUUCAUCAUUUUCUAGGUAAUUUUGACAGAUAUGUAUUUAGAAUUUUAUACUCUCAAACUCUCUCUAUGUAGUACUUUAUAUACUUUAAAGAUUGAAUCACAUUCAUCUGCUGUAAAACCUCGUACUUUUCCUAGUUUAAUUUAGCGUCGAGAAUGUCAAGCGUUAGCUUUAAGAAAGAAUGAUUUUUCAUAUAUGUGCAAUUUUCCAGUUUUAGACCCUCCAAUGCAUAGAAAAUAUAAUUAGCUUUUCAACGAUAUAAGAUUCACCUAAAUCUGAUAACCGAGUAAGAAGUUAUGGCUAUUUUAAGUUUCAGUCGUAAAACACCGUGAUUUGGGCCCGUAGCGCGUUGCGGAGAAGUGAAAAAUCACAAUUGUCAAAUUUUAGUGAGACUCCACAAUCAUGGCGCGUCACGGAAGAGUCCCAUUUUACAUUUGGCAAUUUCCUGCGAGCCUACGUGAUAUUGGCGCGUCGCGCCAGUGGCCAAAAUGGCAAUCCAAAGGGGCACCGCGAUUGUAGCACAUCGCGGUGAACGCCCAAUUUUCACUCGUCCUUUUCCAGUGAGCCACCGCAAUAGUGACGCGUCAUGUGGCCUAUUAAAUCAGAAUUUUUAGUUGUUUACCAGUUCUGAUUUAAGUUUAAUAGAGGCAUUUUGGUCAAUCCACAAGGCCCCAAUCUGUCUUAAACAAAGAAUUAAGCAUUUACCAAAGCAAUUUAUGCUUGUUUCAUCAAUUCUUUCUCAAAAAAAAACCCUAAAGCUCAAACUUUCUCUUCAACAAAACCCAAAUUCUCCAUUAAUUCUCUAAGGCAAUUCAAGAUUAAAAAUUUUCAAUUCAAGAAUUCUAAGAAUUCAUCUUCAAAGGCAUCAAUAGAGAUCCAAGAUUCAAGUCUUAGCAUCUUGUUCAUCAAUUUAGGUAUGUGGAGUUUUCAAUAAGGAUAGUUCUUUCAUCCUUGUGCCCAAAACUUAUUUUAAUUACAAAUUUACUGAAUUUUAUGUGAUUUCCCAUGAAAUUAAAGUUAGGGUUUAUACCCAAUAUUGCUAUUUAUGAGAUUAUGAGAUUUCAAGUGAUUUAGAAGUUGAGAUACAUGUCUAUGUUUAUAUUUUCAUGCAUAUUACAGAAAUUUCCAGAUUUUAAGUUGAUUUAUAAAUGUUUACAUUACCAAGCAUGAAUAUGAUGAUGUUUUAACAUGAAAUUGAUGCAUGAGUCAUUAAGCCCUAAUUAAAGAUUGCUAUUUUAAGAUUUAUUUGUGCUAUGAGCACCUUAUGAUAAGAUUAUUCUCAGAUUUUCGAUUAAGAUUUGACCUUUUGGUCCUAAGAUAAGAUAAAGAAUCCACAUUGUUCAUAUGACUUGAGAUUUAAAGAACGAAAAACAUAAUUGGUUUUCUUGUAAACCCUUGUGCUAUUUUUGAAGUAGAUUUAUUAAAAUCCCAAGCAUAAGAAUGAGAGUAAUAUUUAGCACCGAGAUGGGUAUGUUACCAAGGUUUCAUGCUUUAGAACUAUGUGCCACCAUAGGAUUAAGAUUAUUUCCACUUCUACAUGGAUGACUACGAUUGUGAUCACUUAAGAUAAGAAGUUCUAUUUUGAAGGCAAGGGUAGAACAACUCUCCCCAACGUGGGUAAGACGUUGGACUCCAAGAAUGCUCACAUGGUUUAUGUCGGUUAGAAGAACCUCCCAAAAGAAGUCCCCUACUCUUAAAACAGUCUAUUGGUUUAAAGCCUUAAGAUAAAAACAUAUGUUUUGGAAGCUAUGGUUUUUAAGAUUCUUAAAGUUUUGAGAUGAAGUAUUCUCCUUACAGUUGACAAGAUAAUGUAGUAGUUUUUAGAAAGAACAGAUUUUAGAACUGAAUGUAAUGGCUCAUAAGAUUUAUAUUUAUGCUUUAUUGUUCGUGAUUUAUGAUCUUCAAUUUUCAGAUUGCUCAUGCCUAUGUAAGUCAUUUACAUUUAGCAUGCAUGAUUUUAUAAAUUGUGAUGAUAUUGUUUACUUAUUACAUUCACCCCAUAUGCUUAGUACAUUCUCCAAGUACUGAUCCACAUAUACGUCUAUGUACUACAUUGCCUCAUAAUGUAGGUUCAGGUGCUCAGUCUUAGCAGCGUGAGUGAUUUUCAAGCAUCUCAUAUAUAUCUCUACAGUUGGUGAGUUCUCAUAGUUAGGGGAUUUACCUAUUCAGGUUUUCAGUUUAUUACUAGAUGAUUCAGUAUGCAUUUCAGAUAGUUUGAGUCAGCUGAGGCCUGUCCCAGUGACUCUCUAGAUUCAUUUUCAGUAGAGGCUUGUCGGACUACUAGAUUUAGUUUUAGAUUUUAGUUGCAGUAUUUAGAUUUUUAGUAUUUGCUUUAUUAGACUGAUGAGAUUAACAUUUUCAGAUAUAUUUAGAUAAUUCCGACGGUUUUUCGCAUUUAUUAUGAUUUUACAUUCAUAUUCUCCUAUUUUGAGAUUCAGAUUUAGUAGAAGGCAGCCAGGAUUAGCUCAGGACUACUUGUAGUUCGGAGCACCGUGUGGCAUCCCAGGAAAUCAGAUUUCGGAUCGUUACAUCUUCUAUCAUUUAAUUAGUUAUUGUAGUGUAAAUCAAAACAUUACACUAAUAUUGCCUAAGAUAUUUUAAUAUUAGACUAAUAUUUUGAUUACUGUAGUGUAACCCAAAUAGUGUAGUUGAAUUAGUUACUAUAGUGUAAUUCAUCUGCUACCAUAAUUAUUUUUGAAAAUCUUCAAUAUAGAAACGUGACUAAGGGAAUGACCAAGGGCAUUUUUUUCUUUUAACUUUCAAAAAUAUCUCUUACGUGGCAGUAUCUCCUCUAUAAUUUACUGUUUUCAAAAGACACUUUUGAGAACCAUUGUUUGCACAGAUAAGACCCACCUAGCUUUGUAUUGCAGUUUCAUGUUUGCGUAAUCUUUUUUCUUUCUUUCAUUGUCUUCUUUUCUUUGUUUUCCAUUUCUGAAUUUUUUUUAUACUUUUCAACUUCUUGGUUGUUAUCGUUCUUACUUUCAAAGGCAAUUCACUAAAAUAUCCAUCAAAAAUUUAGUUCUGUCAGCUACAUCUUAGAGUGGAAUAGAUUGUUCUACUCCAAAUGAUAGAGAACCCAAUUCAUCAUUUUCUAGGUAAGCUUGACGGAUAUUUAUCUAGAAUUUUAUACUCCCAAACUUUCUCUAUGUAGUACUUUAUAUACUUCAAAGACCGAAUCACAUUCAUCUGCUACCAUUUAAUUAGUUAUUGUAGUGUAACUCAGAAUAUUACACUAAUAUUUUGAUUAGUUAGUAUUACACUAAUAUUACCCAAGAUAUUUUAAUACUACACUAAUAUUUUGAGUACUGUAGUGUAACCCAAACAUUGUAGUUUAAUUAGUUACUGCAGUGUAAUUCCUCUACUAUUACAAUUAUUUUUGAAAAAUCUUCUAUAUAAAAACGUGACUAAGGGAACGAUCAAGGGCAUUUUUGUCUUUUAACUUUCAAAAAUCUCUCCUACGUGGCAGUAUCUCCUCCACAAUUUACUGUUUUCUGCAGAACUUUUUGAGAACCAUUGUUUGCACAAAUAAGACUCACUUAGCUUUGUAUUGCAGUUUCAUGUUUGCAUAAUCUUUUUCUUUUCUUCUCUCUUUGUAUUCUUUUCUUUGUUUUCCAUUUCAGAAAUUUCUUUGUACUUUUCAACUUCUUGGUUGUUAUCGUUCUUUCUUUCCAAGGCAAUUCACUGGAAUAUCCACCAAAAAUAUGGUUUUGUCAGCUAUAUCUUAGAGUGGAAUAGAUUGUUCUACUCCAAAUGAUAGAGAACCCAAUUCAUCAUUUUCUAGGUAAAUUUGAUGGAUAUGUAUCUAGAAUUUUAUACUCUCAAACCCUCGCUAUGUAGUACUUUAUAUACUUCAAAGAUCGAAUCGCAUUCAUCUGCUACCAUUUAAUUAGUUAUUGUAGUGUAGCUCAAAAUAUUACACUAAUAUUUUGAUUAGUUAGUCUUACACUAAUAUUACCCAAGAUAUUUUAAUACUAUACUAAUAUUUUGAUUAUUAUAGUGUAACCCAAAUAUUUUAGUUUAAUCAGUUACUAUAGUGUAAUUCAUCUGCUAUUAUAAUUAUUUUUGAAAAUCUUCUAUAUAGAAACGUGACUAAGGGAACGACCAAGGACAUUUUUGCCUUUUAACUUUCAAAAAUAUCUCCUACGUGGCAGUAUCUCCUCCACAAUUUACUGUUUUCAAUAGAAACAUUUUGAGAAUCAAUAUUGUUUGCAUAAAUAAGACUCACCUUGUAUUGCAGUUUCAUGUUUGCAUAAUCUUCUUCUUUUCUUCACUCAUUGUCUUCUUUUCCUUUCUUUGUUUUGCAUUUUUGAAAUUUCUUUAUACUUUUCAACCUCUUGGUUGUUAUCGUUCUUUCUUUCAAAGGAAAUUCACUGAAAUAUCCACCAAAAAUUUGAUUUUGUCUGCUACAUCUUAGAGUGGAAUAGAUUGUUCUACUCCAAAUGAUAGAGAACCCAAUUCAUCAUUUUCUAGGUAAAUUUGACAGAUAUAUAUAUUUAGAAUUUUACACUCUCAAACUCUCUCUAUGUAGUACUUUAUGUACUUCAAAGACUGAACCGCGUUCAUCUGCUACCAUUUAAUUAGUUAUUGUAGUGUAACUCAAAAUAUUACACUAAUAUUUUGAUUAGUUAGUAUUACACUAAUAUUAUCUAAGAUAUUUUAAUACUACACUAAUAUUUUGUUUAUUGUAGCGUAAUCCAAAUAGAGUAGUUUAAUUAGUUACUGUAGUGUAAUUCAUCUGCUACCAUAAUUAUUUUUGAAAAUCUUCUAUAUAGAAACAUGACUAAGGGAACGACCAAGGGAAUUUUUGUCUUUUAACUUUUAAAAAUAUCUCCUACGUGGUAGUAUCUCCUCCACAAUUUACUGUUUUCUACAGACACUUUUUGAGAAUCAUUGUUUGCAUAAAUAACUCACGUAGCUUUGUAUUACAGUUUCAUGUUUGCAUAAUCUUUUUCUUUCCUUCUCUCAUUGUCUUUUUUUUUUUGUUUUCCAUUUCAGAAAUUUCUUUAUACUUUUCAACUUCUUGGUUGUUAUCGUUCUUUCUUUCAAAGGCAAUUCACUAGAAUAUCCACCGAAAAUAUGGUUUGGUCAGCUAUAUCUUAGAGUGGAAUAGAUUGUUUUACUCCAAAUGAUAGAGAACCCAAUUCAUCAUUUUCUAGGUAAGUUUGACGAAUAUGUAUCUAAUAUUUUAUACUCUCAAAUUCUCUUUAUGUAGUAUGUUAUAUACUUCAAAGACCGAAUUAAAUUCAUCUGCUACCAUUUAAUUAGUUAUUAUAGCGUAACUCAAAAUGUUACAAUAAUAUUUUGAUUAGUUAGUAUUACACUAAUAUUAUCCAAAAUAUUUUAAUAUUACACUAAUAUUUUGAUUACUGUAGUGUAAUCCAAAUAGUUUAAUUUAAGUAGUUAUUGUAGUGUAAUUCAUCGGCUGCCAUAAUUAUUUUUGAAAAUCUUGGGGUUUAAGAUACAUGAUAUUACAAAAUAUUACUACUAACAAGAUGAAAAGGAUAUGGUGCUAGUUGUUGCCUCUUCCACUUAACGGGCAAUCAUAUUCGACAAACUACUAACCUUCCACACUAAUUUUUAAUCUUUGCAUUUUUAUUUAUGGUUAUGUCCUCACUAAGGUAUGUACAUCUCAAUUCCUGAGAAUAUUGAUCUUUGAAUACUGGUUAUGUUUAGCAGAUAUAUAUAUCCUAGAUUGACUUUAUUGUGGACAUUUAUGUUAGGUGUUACUGUAGUUUAUGGUAUAGCAACAAUAUUGGGGAUUCCAUUAUUUUCAUGUUUUGCAAUAAGUGUUAGAUUUCUCAUAAAAUUCUCAAAAUAGUGUAGCGCAAAAUAUUCUUUACAUACAUUGUAUUGGAGCAUUCAUCCAAGCUUGACUAUCUAGAGUAGUCCUUCUAAAAUAUUAUUUUUGCACGAUAACCAUAUGAUAUCCUUAUCAAUGAUUAUUGAUUCAUUCAAUAGUGUUUAGGCUAAUGUGUCUGCUAAGAAAAUUAAUGCAAUUAGACCACACAAAAGGUAAUAUGUACUAUGCAAUGUCAUUGACAGACAUCUGUCAAAGGAAUACAAUAAUUUAUGGCUUUCAUGUCACAACAUUGUGGAGCGGGAUAGUGAAGAUGGAAUGUGCCUUAUCUGUUAAGGAUGAUAAAGUUACAAGGCAGGAAAAUCUGUUUUAUUAAAUGAGCUAAUUUGCUCAAGUAAAUCAUCUGCUGAUAGAAAUAAAAUUUCAGUAAGGUUUAUCACAAAAUAUUUUAUUAUUAUUACUUCUCAUGCAAUCAACAUUUAUUUAUUCGAUUUGGUGCUUAUAGUCGGAGUAUUAUGGAUGCGUAUGAACUUUUUUCACGAUACAUUAUUCACUUGCUUCAUCUUUUCAAUUUCUUGGAUACAUCACUCUCCCUCUCUUUAAUCAGGAACCCCAAAUCCCCACUGCAAAAGUAAAGACUUUUUAUGAAAGUUAUUAAUAGCUGCUCUAUUUAGUUCUCUUUGAAACGCGUAAAAGAUAAGAAUAUCACAAACUUUAUUGUUAUUUAACAUCCACUCUGACUUACAUUUGUUUAUGAUAUUCUUCAUUCAUUUUUUGUAUGAUCAAAGUCUUUCUAACUAGGUAACCGAUUGAAUCAAUUGUGUUGGUCUUUAUAAUUAUAUUUCGUGGAUUUAGGGUUCCUUGUUAAAUUGAAUAAUUGAAGGUUGAAAGUGCAGAAAUUGAUACAUGGUGCUAAAUCAGAUUGUAUCAAAUGUUGGUUCCUGGACUCGGAACAAGAUUGUUGAUCCUCUUUUCCACAUUCUAUAGAGGCACCUAAUGUUUACCCUUUUAUUGCUUUAGGUGUCUCACAUAGUAUGUGUUUGAUGUAUGAGUGAAUUGAAAUGGUUAUUUAGGGAGAAAAGAUUGUGCUUUUAUGAGUAGAAAGAACUAGUUCAGAUUAGUAACAACUUGCUUGGAUGCUUGUUAUGUAUUAGUAUUUCAUAGUGUAUUCUAUUAUACUGAAAGAUUGUAUCCUUUUUCGUUUCGAAAUAUCACAUCACCAACUUGAAGAAUACAGUUACAAUAUUAAGAAGAAAAAGUAUAGUACAGAUAGAGGUAAAAUAGGACUCUUAAGUAUUCCCUUCAUUUUAAUUCCUUUGUGGCCUUUCCUUUUUAAUCUGUAUGCCUUUUUCAUUUUAUGAAAACUCUCUAAUUAUGACUUUUUACCGGGCAUGUCUAAGACCACAAGAUUAAAUAACAGUUUGGUAUUCUACGUAUCUUUAGUUUAGGAUCAUAAUUUGUUUACCCUUUUACCCUUUUCUUGCUUAAGGUGUUUUGAUAUAUGUGUCUGAUGUAUGAGUGAAUUGAAAUGCUUAAAGAUUGCAGUUUUAGUGAGCGUUUGGCCAUGAAAACUAUAAUUUUUGAAGUUGGAAUCGAAGUUAAAAUUGAAGUUGGAGUUGGAGUUGUGUUUGUCUAUAAAUAUAAUUGGAGUUGUUUUUGAAUUUUUGUGAGAGAAGGAAGAUAGGAAAAAGUGAAAAUAACUUUUUCUUAUUUUUCACUUUUUCAAAUACAACUCCAAGUUGUGUUUGGAAUUCUCAUGGCCAAACAUCAACUUGGAGGAGAUUUUGACAUAAAGUGAUUUUUUUUUCCAGAAAAGUGAAAAAAAUUCAUGCCCAAACGGACCCUUAUACUGAGAACUAGAUCGGAUUAGUAACUACUUGAUUGGAUGGUUGUUAUAUAUCCUUUCAUAGUAGACUGUUUUGUGUUUUAUUGUACUGUACUGAUAGUAAUAGUGCAGUCAGAAAUUUUGUUAAGGACGUUCAAGAUUUAAUAUUUAAUAUUUACAUAUGAAAAGUAAUUUUUAUCUAUGUAGUUUGUAUAAUUUUCUAUUAUAUAAUAUAUUUUGUUGAGGAAAGAUAUUCGUCUUGCUGUCUGUACUGCAUAUGGCUAAGCCAGUAACUGAUAGAUUGUAUCUUUCUCAUCAUUUCAUAAUAUCACUCCAGCUAUUUGAAGAAUACACUUAAAAUAUUAUAAAGAAAAAGUAUGGUAUAAAUAGAUUUUUUGUUUUAAAAAAUGAAAAAGUAAAUAGUAAAAUAGGUUGAUCAGACACUUUUUUUUUUUCAGUUUGUUUGUCUGGUCUUGACUUUUUGGAGUUUUAAGAAAUUAAAGAAGAUUUUUGAAUUAUGUGAUCUUAAAUUUAAGAUAUGCAGAAUAUACCAAAUUAUUUUUUAGUCUUGUGGUCUUAAGUAUGCUAGCAAGAAAGUUGGAACUAAAGUGUUGUUAAAAAAGAAAAGAGACAUUGUUCUUGAGACGGACUAAAAAUGAAGUAAGACAGACAAAUUGAAGCUAAUGGAGUAAUAAAUAACGUAAAGAUGGGAAAGUUGGGUAACGAGCAAUCACACCAUAUCGGUCGUUACAUAAAGUAGUACUUUUCAUUGUUAUAUUUAUUUACACUAAACUCUUUUACACCACUCCACAUUGUACUCAUCUCCUUUUCAUAGUGAAACCUCCUCUGCCUCUGCCUGUGGUUUUUUCCACAAGGGUUUCUACGUAAAUCUGUGUGUUUUUGUUUUCUUUCUGCUUAUGGUUUGAUUUAUUUCUGCCCGAUUUCUAACAAACUGGUAUCAGAGAUUGGUUGAUAUUUUUUCGGGGAUGGAAACCAUGAAGUAUGAUAUUCCGUUGUUGGAUUGCAACACCAAAUUUUUGUUAUGGCAAGUUAAGAUGCGGGUUACGCUAGCGCAAAUGGAUUUGGAUGAUGCGCUAUUAGAGUUUGAUCACAUGCCCUUGUCAUGGACAGAUGAUGAUAAACAACGUAAGGAUCGAAAGGCUUUGUCACAGAUCCACCUUCACUUAUCCAAUCAGAUUCUACAUGAUGUUUUAAAGGAGACCACUACCGCUGCUUGUGGUUGAAAAUGGAACCUUUAUGCAUGACAAAGAGCCUAACAAGUAAGUUGCAUCUCAAACAACGACUUUAUUCCCAUUGUAUGUCUGAGGGUGCAUCUUUAGAAGAUCAAAUAUCUGUCUUUAAAGAAAUCAUCCCUGAUUUAGAGACUUUGGAGAUUAAGUACGAUGAGGAAGAUUUAGGAUUGAUCUUGUUGUGUUCGCUGCCUGCACCAUAUGCGACCUUUAGCGAUAUAAUUUUAUAUAGUCGUGAUACCCUGACCAUAGAUGAAGUCUAUGAUGCACUGUUCUCUAAGGAGAAUAUGAAGCAUCUCAUGAAUAGGUCGAAAACUCAAGGAGAUGGUCGCAUUAUUUAAGGAAGGACUCGUGGAGGAACUCUGGGGGUGAUGAUAAGUUUCGAUCAAAAUCUAAAAAUAGAAACAAAACCUGUAAUUACUGCAAGAAAAAGGGUCACAUUAAAUCCGAGUAUUAGAAGUUACAUAAUAGAGAGAAAAAAGAAGCUCCAAAACCGAAGAAAAACCAACCAGAGAAGUCCGAUGAAGUCAGUUUUAUUGAAUAUGGCGGUAGUGAUGGAGAAUUCUUGGUAGUUUUUGAUGGUAACUGCAAACCCUAUGAGGAUUGGAUUCAUGAUUCAACUUGCAUGUUUCAUAUAUGUCGUAAUCGGGAUUGGUUUACAACAUAUAAAACAGUUUCUAAAGGUGCUGUGUUGAUGGAAAAUAACACACCUAGUAAGAUAGUUGGUAUUAAAACAAUCAGAAUUAAGAUAUUUGAUGGGGUUGUGAGGUCACUUGGUGAUGUGUGGUAUGUCCCAGACCUGAAGAGAAAUCUUAUUUCCUUGAGUACUCUUGAUUUGAAUGGAUAUAGGUACAUUGGUAAAGGUGGAGUCCUGAAGGUUGCUAAAGGCGCUCUUGUUGUGAUGAAGGGACAGAGAAAGUCUGCAAAUUUGUAUGUCUUGCAAGGCUCUAUGUUUACAGGUGAUGUAGUUGUUUCUACCUCCUCUCUAUCAGAAAGUAACGUUGCUAAACUUUGGCAUAUACACCUGGGGUAUAUGAGUGAAAAUGGGAUGGCUGAACUAAGUAGGAGAGGACUUCUUGAUGGGCAGAGUAUUACCAAAUUAGAGUUCUUUGAGCAUUGAAUUUUUGGGAAGCAGAAGAGAGUUAGAUUCACUAAGGGAUUUCACUCAACUAAUGGCACACUUGAUUACAUUUAUUCUGAUUUCUGGGGACCUUCUAGAGUACCUUCUAGAGGAUGUGUGAAUUACUUGUUGACUAUUAUUGAUGACUGUUCCAAAAAAGUUUGGGUAUUUUUCCUGAGGCAAAAGAAUGAUGUGUUGCCUACUUUUUAGGAGUGGAAGAUUAUGAUCGAAAAGAAAAAAGGGAAGCAGGUAAAACACCUUCAGACUGAUAAUGGUUUAGAAUUCUGUUCUAAUGAAUUUAAUUCUCUGUGCAAGUCAAAAGGAAUUGUGAGGCCGAAUAAGUGAAUAGGACUAUAAUGGAGAAGGUGCAUUGUAUGCUCUCUAAUGAUAGUUUACCCAAGUCUUUUUAGGUCGAAGCUGCUUCCACAACUUAUCUUCUUAUUAACCGCUCUCCCUCAGUCGUUAUUGAUAAAAAGUCUUCACAAGAGGUAUGGUCUGGUGCUCCUAUUAGUUAUUCUGAUUUGAGGAUAUUUGGAUGUACUGCGUAUGCUCAUGUUGAUAAUAGAAAGUUGGAGCCUAGAUCUGUCAAGUGCUUAUUUAUGGGUUAUAAGCCUGGUGUUAAAGGUUAUAAGCUUUGGUGUCCAGAAAGCAUAAAGGUUAUAAUUAGCAGAGAUAUUGUGUUUGAUGAAACUGCCAUGCUUCGAGCUCCCUCUAAAUUUAGUGCUUUACCUCCAGAUGAGCUUAGUGACAUGAAUCAACAACAAUCAAGCACCCACAUUGAAUUGCAGAUUGGAUCAGAGUCUACACCGGUGCCUACUUCUCAGUCUAGCCCAGAGAUACAGAGUGGUACUAUUUCUUCUUCACCAUCAGUGAUGCCACAAUAUUUUAUUGCUAAAGACAGGCCUAGAAGAGAUAUUAGACCUCCUCAGAAGUAUGUUGAAGCUGAUUUGAUUGCUUAUGUAUUGAAUGUAGCAGAAGGUAUUAAUUUUGAUGAAGAUCCUUCUUCUUACUCAGAUACAGUUAGUUGUGAUAAUUUCGACCGAUGGAUGAUUGCUAUGCAGAAAGAGAUGAAAUCACUUCAUAAGAAUGGCAUAUGGGAUCUGGUGAGAUUGCCUAAAGAUAAAAAAACUGUUAGUUGCAAGUGGGUAUUUAAAAAUAAAGAAGGAACAUCGAGAUUUGAAAAUGCUAGGAACAAAGCAAGACUAGUUACUAAAGGUUACAGUCAGGUUCCAGGUGUUGACUUCAUAGAUGUGUUUUCUCUAGUUGUAAAGCAUAGUUCGAUUUGAGCUUUGUUUGGUAUUGUGGCCAUACAUGAUCUUGAGUUUGAUCAGUUGGAUGUCAAAACGCAUUCUAACAUGGAGGAGGAUAUCUAUAUACAACAACCAAAGGGUUUUGUAGUCUCAGAAAAGGAGGACUACGUAUACUUGCUGAAAAGUCUCUUUAUGGCUUAAAACAGUCUCCCAGGCAGUGGUAUAAGAGGUUUGACUCUUUCGUGACGUCUCAUAUGUUUUAGAGAAGUAGUUAUGAUAGUUGUGUCUACUUCAAGGAGGUAAGUGAUGGUUCAUUCAUGUAUUUUCUUUUAUAUGUUGAUGAUAUAUUGAUUGCAGCAAAGGAUAUAAGAGAGACAAUAAAAGUUAAAGCCCAACUCAACAAGGAGUUUGAGAUGAAGGAUCUAGGAGCAACAAAGAAGAUUCUUGGUAUGGAAAUUAUGAGAGAUAGAAAGAAGUGUAAGUUAUACUUGAGUUAGAAAAGGUAAAUUGAGAAAGUGCUUCACAUGUUUAAUAUAAAAAAUGCCAAACCUGUAAGUGCUCCAUUGGCAGCUCACUUCAAACUCUCGGUCACUUUUUCUCCAAAAAUAGAUGAUGAGCGUAACUAUAUGUCUUGAGUUCCAUACUCUAGUGCCGUCGGGUCUCUUGUGUAUGCGAUGGUGUAUUCUUGACCAGAUUUAUCUUAUAUCAUCAGUGCAGUUAGCAGAUACAUGGUAAAUCCUGUCAAAGAACAUUGGAAAGUAGUUUAGUGGAUUUUCAAAUACUUACAUGGAUCUUCUGCUGUUUGCUUAUAGUUUGGGUGAAAUAGAGAUGGAGUAAUCGGGUAUGUUGAUUCUAAGUUUGCAGGAGAUUAUGAUAAAAGGAGGUCUCUUAUAGGCUAUGUUUUUACCAUUGGUGGUUGUGCUAUUAGUUGGAAAGCUACCUUACAGACUACGGUUGCUUUGUCAACAACUGGGGCAGAGUACAUGACUAUUACAGAGGCUUCAAGGCAGCUAUUUGGUUGAAGGGUCUAUUUGGUGAACUUAGCAAAGACUUAAAAAUUACUACAGUUUUUUGCGAUAGAUAAAGUGCUAUCUUUCUUAUGAAAGAUCAGAUGUUUAACGAGAGGACAAAGCACAUCGAUGUUCGGUAUCAUUUUAUGCGUGAAAUUAUUGCUCAUGGUGAUAUUGUGGUGAGCAAGAUUAAUACUCAUGAUAAUCCUGCUAAUAUGAUGACCAAGAUACAACCAAGUGCCAAGUUUGAGCAUUGCUUGGACUUGGUUAGUGUUUAGCUAUUAAGACGUGCCCUUAGGGUUUUUUUGUGGAAGUAUUGGAGAGUUUGUCUUGAAAUGAAUUUGAGUUUUGAAUUAGAAUUUGUGUCAAGGUAGAGUUUAUUUGUAAUGCCCUGAUUUUCUAAACAGGAAUGCUACACGGUGCUUAUGACCCCGAAGGAUCACAAGCUAACCCAUGACUGAUAUCUGUACCUAUACACUGCAAUAUAUAAUGUAAUAAUACAGAAAACAUGAACAUGUAGGCCAUAAGGUUCAAUUAAAUAAAGAAUUUGUCAAAAUAUAACAUCCAUAUGGGUGAAAGAUACCCAGAAUAACUGAAAACUAAAUCAAAUCUGAACAUAAGUCUGAAUACUGAAUCUGAAAGCCUGUAAGUGUUGUCUGAAUAAGGAGUUGAAGGAACAUGUCUUCAACUAACUCCGUAAACCGAUAACUGGCUAAAAUAAUAAUGAAUAAAUCAAAUCAUAUUGUCCUCAAAUGAAGUGGACUCACUGAAUCUCUACGACUAAAAAUGCUACUGCUACUGCUGAUCUGGAGCUCGUGUCUCUGAACCUAUGGUGUAAUAUGAAAAGAAAGCACCAUAGCGCAGUUAGUAAGAGGGAAUAUACUGAGUAUACGAGUGAGGUAGGCUAAAUAUAAAUAGGGUUUACAUGCAUGAACAAUGCUAACUGUCUGACUGACUUGAAUGUAAGAGUACAAACAUGCAUACAUAGUAACUGAAAUCAUGGGUGCAUGAUAGCUAGUCCUGUAUGCUAAUACAUGGUUUACUGAUGGCUAACAUGACUGAUACUGAAAUUCUGAUAACAUGGGCGACUGUAUCUGACAAUCCUAAAUCUGAUGGAACUAUCUGAGUUCCGUAUUGUAACCGAGUCUGACUGUAUCUGACAGUCCUGAUAUACUAAAAUCUGAAGACCUAUCUGAGUUCUUUUACUAAAACUGAUUCUAAAACGGUGGGAGGUAGUUGUUUAACCGACAUUCCCCAAUAACGUAUAUAGCUAAGUUGGAGUCCAAUCUCUGCCCCGACUGGAGGGGUGUCAAUACCACGACACUGGUAAGGACAAUUAUAGGUGACCCUUAGCUGGUAGGUAUUCGAAAGGAGAACGAUGGGAACCCUAAACUGACAGGUUAAGCCACCUCAUCAACCCUAAUCUGAUAGGCUAAGAUGUUUCAACCUACGCUGGCUAUGUAGUUCUGGAAUAGAAGGAUGACUGCUAAGAAUCACACCCUAAACUGGUAGGUGAGUACCCAUCCUUGGGUUCACUCGGUACUAACUUCUACUCCCAUCUGAAGAGACUAAACAUGAUUCAACUGACUAUACAUGGAAAGAUUAACUGACUUUUGUUGACUGACCGAGUAGUACUAUUAUCUAAGAGUUAAAUGAGAUCAUGAGAUUUCUGAGGUUUCCUGAGUCACAUGACUGACUGAGUUCCAUAGAUUAUAGCUUAACUGAGAUUAUCGUGGCAACAUGACAUGACUAUAGGCACACAGCUAUGUUUUUCGGGUACGAAUACCCCCAGGACUCGAUAGAAGAAAACUGACACACAUGGCAUGACUUGAUUAAAAGAUUUGAGUCCACAAUUCAUAAUAUCAUAAGUAGGGGAUAUCAUAUUUCAUAUAGUUAUUCAAUAUCUUAAACAUUGUAGGGAAUGCAUGGAUAUAUUUCAUGUACAUAUUGUAUAUCUCCAUUAUCUUACAUACUUCAUACCACCACAAUAGCAACACAUGAAAAGCAUGGAAUUCAUAUUGAAGUAUAUAGCUAACAUAGACUUGUCAUUUAGACAUCAUAGAACCAUACAAACAUGAAUUUCUAGCAUCCUAAGCAUUUUAUCAAACACCUUGCAUGUAUUCUUUAAGGCAUAGGUGAGUUUCACACUUGCACCAUAUUAAACCACCCAAAGUUUAUGGUUUUUAAUUAAAAAACAUAUAUAUUCCAUGAAAACACCUUCAGACAUCACAUUGAAACUUAAACAACAAUCGUCAACAUGUACAUACUCAUAUCACCACAAAAAGGUUACAAAAUAAUAUUUAAAACAUGGUUCUUGAGCUCUAUGAACGGAUUGGAUCCAUAGAUGAACACUACGCAUACCUUAGAAAGGAAACCUUGAUGAUUUGUUGGAGAGUUCUUGGAUUAGGAAACUUAAUUCUCAAUUAUCUUAGAAAAAGGCUUGAAUCUUGCUUUUGAGAGAUGAGUUUGAUGGAAACCCUAAUCUUGUGGUUGGGAGCGUAAGAGAAGGUUUUUGAGCUGCUUAACUGAAGAAAAAUGGGAAAAAUUACGCCUCUUUAGGGUUAUAAUUCGUGAAAGGUGAAGGAAAUGACCAAAAUACACUUAUGAAAUAAAUUCCCAGUUGCUGAAAAAUCAUAGUUGACGACCUUCGUGAUAGGGCAUCACAAAUAUGAUAAGCUAUCAUGAAUGCCGUCACUUAGGAGCUGGUUUCUGCCUAAGGCUGACGACCUUCGUGAUAGGGCAUCACAAAUAUGAUAAGCUAUCAUGAAUGCCGUCACUUAGGAGCUGGUUUCUGCCUAAGGCUGACGACCUUCGUGAUAGGGCAUCACAAAUAUGAUAAGCUAUCAUGAAUGCCGUCACUUAGGAGCUGGUUUCUGCCUAAGGCUGACGACCUUCGUGAUAGGGCAUCACAAAUAUGAUAAGCUAUCAUGAAUGCCGUCACUUAGGAGCUGGUUUCUGCCUAAGGCUGACGACCUUCGUGAUAGGGCAUCACAAAUAUGAUAAGCUAUCAUGAAUGCCGUCACUUAGGAGCUGGUUUCUGCCUAAGGCUGACGACCUUCCUGAUAGGGCAUCACAAAUGUGAUAAUAUAUCACGAAUGUCAUCACUUAGGAGCUGGUUUCUGCCUAAGGCUGACGACCUUCAUGAUAGGGCGUCACAAAUGUGAUAAGCUAUCACAAAUGUCGUCACUUAGGAGCUGGUUUCUGCCUAAGGCUGACGACCUUCGUGAUAGGGCAUCACAAAUAUGAUCCUUAAUAUACAUCUAACUUACUCAUAAAACUAUAAAAGAACCAUGAUGUACUAUGCAUGAUCUUGGUACAUAGAUCUAAUAUUGGUUUGGAUUUUUUGGAGUAUUACAAUGUCUCCCCCUUAGAAACAUUCGUCCUCGAAUGAUGACUACUUGAGAGGGGAGAAAAGAUAAAAUGAUGCAUACACUGAUCAUGCUCAACUGGCAUAUGAUUUUAGGACUGAAUUGAAUUCUAAACUGAAUAUAUCCCAACUGAUCAUGCAUAUCUGAUGCAUGACUGAUAAGCUGAACUCAUGAAUGUAUGAUAAGUUAUGCACUGAUACUUGAUACCAAUUUUGUAUUGGAAUUUUGAACAUGUAACUGAAUAAGCUUAAGAAAAAUAGUUACCUCAAUCUAAGUCUGAAUUAGCGAAGAAAAGAUGAGGGUACUUGGUUCACAUGUCUGCUUCUGCUUCCCAAGUAGCUCCCUCCAUGGACUGAUUCCGCCAAAGAACCUUGACUAGAGGGACUUCUUUGUUUCUCAGCCUACGAGUGUGAUAGUCAAGGAUUUCAAUUGGAAUCUCUUCAUAAGAGAGGCUAUUUUGAAUGUCAACGCUCUGAAUAGGGACUACAACUGCUAGGUCAUCUAUGCACUUCUUGAGCAAAGAGACAUGGAAGACUGGAUAAACUAAGGCUAGAUCUGAAGGUAAUUUGAGCUCAUAGGCUACCUUGAUGAAGCAACUGAGAAUCCUGAAGGGACCGACAUAUCGGAGACUGAGGUUUCCCUUCUUGUCGAAUAUCUUCACUCCCUUCAUAGGAGAGAUCUUGAGAUAGACAUAGUCAUCGACCUCGGAUUCGAGAUCCUUUCUACGAACAUCCGCAUAAGACAUCUAUCGGCUCUGAGCAGCUCGGAGUCUUUCUCUGAUCAACUGAACUUUCUCUAAGGCAUCGAAUACUAAGUCAGGCCUUAUGACUGCGGUCUCAAUAACUUCGAACAAACCAAUCAGAGACCUAUAUCUCCUACCAUACAGAGCUUCAAAUAGAGCCAUCUGAAUACUGGAGUGAUAGCUGUUGUUGUAUGCGAACUCAAUCAAAGGCAAGUGGUCAUCCCAGCUUCUCUUGAAAUCAAUUGCACACGCCCUUAGAAUAUCUUAUAGAGUAUGAAUAAUCCUUUCUUCUUGACCAUCUGUCUGAGGAUGAAACAUUGUACUGAGAUGAAAUUGGGUACCAAGACCCUUGGGAAUGCUUUCCAGAAGUGAGAGGUGAACUGGGUACCUCUGUCUGAGAUGAUAGAUAGUGGAACAUCGUGUAAUCUGACCAACUCCCUGAUAUAAAGUUUGGCAUAAUCCUCAGCUGAGUAAGAGGUAUGAACUGGAAAGAAAUGAGCUGACUUGGAUAUUCAGUCUACAAUGACCCAAACUGAAUCAUGCUGAUGACGUGUUCUAGGCAAACCCGUUACAAAAUCCAUGUUCACUUCUUCCCACUUCCAAGUAGGAAUAGUGAACUCCUGCAUGGAACUACUAGGUUUCUGAUGCUCUAUCUUAACCUACUGACAUGUAGAGCACUUAGCCACAAACUCUACAACGUCCCUCUUCAUCCUACUCCACCAAUAGAUCUUCCGCAAGUCGCGGUACAUCUUAGUGGCCCCUGGAUGAAUAGAGUAUUGUGCUCCAUGCGCUUCUGCAAGAAUUUGAUGCCUCAAUUCAUCUACACCGGGAACACACAGACGACCCUGACAACGAAGAACACCAUCUCCCCUUUGGGAGAAAACCUCUACUUCCUGACUCUGAACUGUCUCUUUUAGCUUGACAAGGCUAGGGUCCCUAUCUUGCUUCUCUUUCACCUCGGAAACUAGAGAUGACUCUAAACUACUCUGAACACAUACACCACCCUCUGAAGAGUUGACUAAGCGAACUCCUAGUCUGGCAAGCUGAUGAAUCUCCUGAGCUAACUUCUUCUUACUAUCCUCAACAUGGGAAACACUACCCAUGGACAAUCUACUGAGUGCGUCGGCCACUACAUUGGCCUUGCCAGGAUGAUAAAGGACUCUCAUGUCAUAAUCCUUCAAGAGCUCUAACCACCUUCUCUGACGAAGAUUGAGAUCUUUCUGGGAAAAAACAUACUGAAGGCUCUUAUGAUCUGUGAAGACGUCUACAGAACACCGUAUAGAUAAUGCCUCCAAAUCUGUAAGGCAAAGACAAAUGCUUCUAACUCAAGGUCAUGAGUAGGUUAAUUCUUCUCAUGGGGCUUUAAAUAUCUGGAGGCGUAGGCUAUGACUCUACCAUGCUGCAUAAGGACACAACCUAAACCUACUCUGGAUGCAUCAUAAUAUAGUACGAAUCCAUCGGAACCAUCGAGAAGUGCUAAAACUGGAGCUGAGGUGAGUCGAGUCUUCAACUCCUGAAAACUCUUCUCGCAAGGUUUUGACCACUAAAACUUGACCUUGUUCUGAGUCAAUUUGGACAUAGGAGAUAUAAUAGAAGAAAAUCCCUUAAAAAACCAUCUGUAAUAGCUAGCCAAACCCAAGAAACACCUGAUAUAUGAUGGAGAGAUAGAGUAAGGCCAGUUUCUUACCGCUUUAAUUUUUUGAUGAUCUACUCUAAUACCAUCACCAGAAAUAAUGUGGCCAAGGAAUGCUACUGAUCUUAGCCAAAAUUUGCACUUACUAAACUUGGCAAACAACUGGUGAUCCCUGAGAGUCUGAAGAACAAUUAUGAGAUGGUCUGAAUGAUCACGCUCUGUGUGAGAAUAGACUAGAAUAUCAUCUAUAAAGACUAUGAUGAAUGUGUCAAGUACUGCUUAAACACCCGGUUCAUCAAGUCCAUGAAAGCUGCAGGGGCAUUGGUAAGACCAAAGGAUAUGACUAGAAAUUUAAAGUGACCAUACCAAGUAUGAAAAGCUGUUUUCAGAAUGUCACAUUCUCUAAAUCUGAGCUGAUGAUAUCCUGAUCUGAGGUCUAUCUUGGAGAAAUAACUGGCACCCUGAAAUUGGUCAAAUAAGUCAUCUAUCCUAGACAGCGGAUACCUGUUCUUGACCGUGACUUUGUUGAGCUGACGGUAAUCAAUACACAUUCUGAGAGAAUCAUCUUUUUUGCACACGAAUAAGACUAGCUCACCCCAUGGGGAUACACUGGGCCUAAUGAAUCCCUUAUCUAAGAGAUCCUUCAACUGAUCUUUCAGUUUCUUGAGUUCUGUUGGUGCAAUUUUGUAUGGUGGAAUAGAAAUAGGCUGAGUAUCUGGGAGAAGGUCUAUGCCAAAGUCUAUUUCCCUUUCGGGAGAAAUGCCUGGAAGAUCUUCGUGAAAGACAUCUAAAUAUUCAUUAACCAUUGAGACUGAUUCAAGACUGGAAGAUUCAGAACUGGAAUCCUUAACAUGGACAAGAUGAUACAUACACUCAUUAGAAAUUAUUUUUCUUGCCUGAAGGUAGGAAAUAAGCUGACCCCUGAAAGACGAAGUGCUCCCAUUCCACUCUAGGAUGGGCUCAUUCGGGAAUUGAAACUGAACUAUCCUAUUUUUGCAAUUGACUAUGGCAUAGCAGGAAUAAAGUCAAUCCAUGCCGAGAAGGAAUGAAGCCAAUCCAUGCCAAGAAUGACGUCAAAAUCAGUCAUCUCUAACUCGACUAAAUCUGCUGAUGUGGAUUUUUGAAAUAUCAUAAUCGGGCAGUUUCUAUAUACCCGUCGAGCUAUGAUGGUUUUACCCACUGGGGUAGAGAAUGAAAAGGGCUCUGCUAAAAUUUCAGGACUGAUUCCAAAAUCGCUUGCUAUGUAUGGAGUGACAAAAGACAAGGAUGCACCUGCGUCUAGCAAAGCAUAAACAUGAAUAUAGAAAAUUUGUAACGUACCAGUAACGAUAUCAGGAGAAUUUUACUGAUCCUAUCGGGUCUGAAGAGCAUAAAGUCUAUUUGGGCGUUGACCACUAGUAGCACGGGAAGUGGCACCCUGCUGGUUCGGGCGACCAAACUGAGCUGUGGAACGAUUCUGCUGACCCUGAGGGCCUGGCUCAGGACACUCCCUAAUCCUGUGGCCUGGCUUACCACAACCAAAACAGACAUCACUAUCGGCUCUGCAAAUACCCUUGUGGUUCUUACCAUAAGUCUGACAAAGGGGGUUUGUUCGGGCAUUGCUAACACUGCCCUGAGAUUUAGAGCCUGGUGCUCUGUCUCUAUUGCCAUCCCUGAACUUCGGCACUGGGGCACUAGCGGAGGAAGGGGCUGGAACUGCUGACUUAGGAUAAAACUAUAAAUGAUUUCCUCUCUCUAAUUUGGGUUGAGAAAAACUAAAACUGCCUGAUCUUACUCUCUUGUUCUGCGUCUCCCUAGUCUUAACCUUCUGCUCCUCUAUCUGUUGAGCAUGGGUCAUGAGCCUGGCUAAAGUCAUAUCAGUGUUCAGCAUCGCAGACCUACACUUAUUUACCAAGCUAUCAUUCACCCCUGACACAAACUUGCUCAUCUUAGCCCUGUUGUCUGCAACCACAUGAGGGCCAUAUCUGGCUAGCUGAGUAAAUAUAGGAGAAUACUCUCUAACUGUCAUAUUUCCCUACCUGAGACUGAUAAACUUAAGAACUUUGGCCUCUCUCAGCUCUUGGGGAAAGUAUCUGUCUAAGAAAGCCGUGACAAAUUCUUCCCACUCAAUAGGACCUGCAUCUUCUAACCUUUCUGCUAACCAUUGCUUGUACCAAGUGUGAGCGACAUCCUGCAAUUAGUAUGUGGCUAACUCGGCACUCUGAGAAGAAGUGAAUCCCAUGAUAUCAAUGACCUUCUAGACUUGGUCAAUGAAUUUCUGAGGAUCCUCGUCUGGCUAAGACUCAAAGAAGGACGGAGGGUUCAUUUGGGUGAACUCCCAAAUCCUAACUGCUGCUGAAUUGGCCACUGGGGCCAUUCAUUUUGGGCAGCCACAGACUGAGCAAGUGUGGUGAAUGCAGCCCUAAACUCCGCAUGAGAAACAUCUUCGCCCAAAGGAUCUUCGGGCUGAGGAGUUGGUUGAUUUCUUCUCUUUAAAGACAUGUUUCUGAAAUAAGAGAAGAGUGGAUUAGACUGAGAGACUGACUUGAAAUUAUGUUUACUAGCACAACAUGAAUAGUGAAAAAAGCAAACUGUUCCUAAAAUAUCUCAUAACCUCCUGUACAUAAAUGUGGCGCGCAACACACCCAUGUAUAAGACUCUACUAGAUGCGGCUUUCAGACUUCCUAGGACUCUAUUGAACCUUAGGCUCUGAUACCAAGUUUGUAAUGCCCCGAUUUCUGAACCGAAAUGCUACACGGUACUUAUAACCCCGAAGGAUCACAAGCUAAUCCAUGAAUGAUAUCUGUACCUGUACACUGUAAUAUAUAACGUAAUAAUGCAGAAAACAUGAACAUGUAGGCCAUAAGGUUCAAUUGAAUAAAGAAUCUGUCAAAACAUAACAUCCAUAUGGGUGAAACAUACCCAAAACAACUGAAAACUGAAUCAAAUCUGAACAUAAGUUUGAAUACUGAAUAUGAAAGCCUCUAAGUGUUGUCUGAAUAAGGAUUUGAAGGAACAUGUCUCCAACUAACUCCGUAAACUGAUAACUGGCUAAAAUAAUAAUGAAUAAAUCAAAUCAUAUUGUCCUCAAAUGAAGAGGACUCAUUGAAUCUCUACGACUGGAAAUGUUACUUCUACUGCUGAUCUAGAGCUCGUGUCUCUGAACCUAUGGUGUAACACGAAAAUAAAGCACCAUAGUGCAAAUGCGUCAAUACGAGGGAAUAUACUGAGUAUACGAGUGAGGUAGGAUAAAUAUAAAUAGGGUUUACAUGCAUGAACAAUGCUAACUGUCUGACUGACAUGAACAUAGGAGUACAAACAUGCAUACAUAGUAACUGAAAUUGUGGGUGCAUGAUAGCUAGUCCUGUAUGCUAAUACAUGGUUUACUGAUGGCUAACAUAACUGAUACUAAAAUUCUAACAACAUGGGCGACUGUAUUUGACAAUCCUGAAUUUGAUGGAACUAUUUGAGUUUCGUAUUGUAACUGAGUCUGACUGUAUCUGACAAUCCUGAUAUGCUAAAAUCUGGAUAUCUAUCUGAGUUAUUUUACUAAGACUGAUUUUGAAACUGUGGGAGGUAGUUGUACUGAUUUUGAAACUGUGGGAGGUAGUUGUUUAACCGACAUGCCCCAAUAACGUAUAUAGCUAAGUUGGGGUCCAAUCUCUGCCCCUACUGGAGGGGUGUCAAUACCGCGCUACUAGUAAGGAUAAUUGUGGGUGACCCUUAGCUGGCAAGUAUUCGAAAGGAGAAUGGUGGGAACCCUAAACUGACAGGUUAAGCCACCCCAUCAACCCUACUCUGACAGGCUAAGAUAUCUCAACCUACGCUGGCUACGUAGUUCUGAAAUAUAAGGAUGACUGCUAAGAAUCACACCCUUAACUGGUAGGUGAGUCCCCAUCCUUGGGUUCACUCAGUGCUAACUUUUACUCCCAUCUGAAGAGAAUAAACAUGAUUCAACUGACUGUACAUGGACAGAUUAACUGACUUCCGUUGACUGACGGAGUAGUACUAUUAUCUGAGAGUUAACUGAGAUCAUGAGAUUUCUGAGGUUUCCUGAGUCACAUGACUGACUGAGUUCUAUAGAUUAUAGCUUGACUGAGAUUAUCGUGAUAACAUGACAUGGCUCUAGGCACACAGCUAUGUUUUUUGAGUACGAAUACCCCCAGGACUCGAUAGAAGGAAACUGACACAUAUGACAUAACUUGAUCACAAGAUUUGAGUCCACAAUUCAUAAUAUCAUAAGUAGGGGAUAUCAUAUUUUAUAUAGUUAUUCAAUAUCUUAAACAUCAUAGGGAAUGCAUAGAUAUAUUUCGUCUACAUAUUGUAUAUCUCCAUUAUCUUACAUACUUCAUACCACCACAAUAGCAACACAUAAAAAAUAUGGAAUUCAUAUUGAAGUAUAUAGCUAAAAUGGACUUGUCAUUUAGACAUCAUAGAACCAUACAAACAUGAAUUUCUAUCAUCCUAAGCAUUUUAUCAAACACCUUGCAUGCAUUCUUUAAGGCAUAGGUGAGUUUCAUACUUGCACCAUAUUAAACCACCUAAAGUUCAUGGUUUUCAAUUAACAAACAUAUAUAUUCCAUGAAAACACCUUUAGACAUCACAUUGAAACUUAAACAACAAUCGUCAACAUGUACAUACUCAUAUCACCACAAAUAGUUUACAAAAUAAUAUUUAAAACAUGGUUCUUGAGCUCUAUGAACGGAUUGGAUCCAUAGAUGAACACUACGCAUACCUUAGAAAGGAAACCUUGAUGAUUUGCUGGAGAGUUCUUGGAUUAGGAAACUUAAUUCUCAAUUAUCUUGGAAAAACAGCUUGAAUCUUGCUUUUGAGAGAUGAGUUUGAUGUAAACCCUAAUAUUGUGGUUGAGAGCAUAAAAGAGGGUUUUUGAGAUGCUUAACUAAAGAAAAAUGGGAAAAAUUAUGCCUCUUUAGGGUUAUAAGUCGUGGAAGGUGAAGGAAAUGACCAAAAUACCCUUAUGAAAUAAAUUCCCAGUUGCUAAAAAAUCAUAGCUGACGACCUUCGUGAUAGGGCAUCACAAAUGUGAUAACCUAUCACGAAUGUCGUCACUUAGGAGCUGUUUCUGCCUAAGGCUGACAACCUUCGUGAUAGGGCAUCACAAAUGUGAUAAGCUAUCAGGAAUGUCAUCACUUAAGAGCUGGUUUCUGCCUAAGGCUGACGACCUUCGUGAUAGGGCGUCACAAAUGUGAUAAGCUAUCACGAAUGUCGUAACUUAGGAGCUGGUUUCUGCCUAAGGAUGACGACCUUCGUGAUAGGGCGUCACUAAUAUGAUAAGCUAUCACGAAUGUCGUCACUUAGAAGCUAGUUUUUGCCUAAGGCUGACGACCUUCGUGAUAGGGCGUCACAAAUGUGAUAAGCUAUCACAAAUGUUGUCACACUGUUUCUAGCUUGACAUGCUGGAGUAAAAUAGAAAUAACUCUUUGCUCCAAUAUCGGAUUUAAGCGAAAUUGGUAUAGUUGGAAAGCUAAUUCAAUUAUCUAUCUGUUGAUAGGUCAUGAGCUCAAAAAUUCCAAGUAUAAUGAGAUAUAUGCUCCUUUGAAGUUGACUAUACCAAUAUCCUUCUCAAGAAUUCAAUCGGUAAGGAAUGUUUUGAUUCGUCUGAUAGCUGGGAGUUAUUUGAAGCCUUGAUAUACAUCUAACUUACUCAUAAAACUAUAAAAUUACCAUGAUGUACUAUGCAUGAGCUUGGUACAUGGCUCUAAUAUUGGUUUGGAUUUUUCGGGGUAUUACAAUAUUAGAGUUGCGACCCAAAUUUUAUUGAUCCGACCUAAAAAAUUUCACGGUGCGACCCAUAUUUGUGAUUUUCAAUAGGGUCUGUGGUGGUAGCGUAGGGAUCGGAUUGAUAAGUGCAAUUAGUGGGUCGAUUUUGAUCAUUCAUAAAUUACGUCGCUCCACAUUGUACUCCUCUCAUUUUCAUAGUGAAACCUCCUCUGCCUCUGCCCGUGGUUUUUCCCACAAGGGUUUUAAUGUAAAUAUGUGUGUUCUUGUUUUAUUUCUGCUUGUGGUUUACUUUAUUUCUGCCCGAUUUCUAACAGUAGCCUUACCUGGUAUCUGCUGAUAGCGGGAGGUGACAGGUAUCCCAUAUAAUUAGUCGAGGUAUGUGAAAGUUGGUCCGGAUGCCAGAGUCAUAAAAAAAGUAACAACAGGAUACAAUAGAACAUGUAACAACCAUCCAAACAAGAUAUAUGCUUUAAGUAGUAUAUAAAGAUCUUGGACUACUAUUUUCAUUGCUUUAAGGCAAUGGUUAAACCCUUUGAUUCUUUCUCAAUAUUCAGCUUUGCCUCUUUCGGCAAUAUCUACAAGGAUUAUUACUUAGAUCUAUGUCUUACGAAAGCUAAGUAUAAGUUAUUAGACUUCUUGACACUCUACACGCAUGAGAGUUAAAGUAUUAGAUGUCCUUGCUAGACAAAAGAUAUUUGAGUGAUUCUCUUGCCUGAGAUCAAGUCCUCCAUACUCUUUGAUUCAACUUGCUCUUUUAGAUCUUUCACUAAGGUGAUUGCCCAUAAUAAGCUCACAUUCUAAUCCAAUACGUGGUAAUUUUUGUCAACUCCUCUGGGUGGUUUGGUCACAUCUUUGGUUUUAUCUGUCUUGUGAUAUUUGAUUGGUUUAAUGUUAUAGUCAUCUCACUUCUCUCCCCAACCUGAAUUAAGUAUGAUAUUAUUAUAACCUUGACUUUAGGGUACAUAGUGCAGUCCUAAGCCAAGAUAUUCUUAGUAGUUUCAGAGGUUAAAUCUCCUAUUUUUUGUUUAUUAUUGGAUGUACUUCUAGCUAUUUCUUUUUGAAUGAAAUAAUUUUGUUGAUUAUUUCUGUGCUCCAAACUUGAUGCCAACAAAAAGAUAAUGACCAUAAAAAAGAUCGACAGUGCAACACUAUCACUGCAGGAGUAAGAUAACUUUCUUGAAGUUGUCUCAAAUAUGUCAGGGUUGAGGCAUCCAGACAUUGUUCAAUUAAUAGGAUAUUGCGCUGAGCAUGGGACAUUUUUUGGUUUAUGACCAUGUCGCAGCUGUUAGGUUGCAUGAUAUACUGCA
RNAcentral lists this long non-coding RNA (29822 nucleotides) under Capsicum annuum. RNAcentral's name for it is "long non-coding RNA (CANN_LNC003263)". Lineage: Eukaryota; Viridiplantae; Streptophyta; Magnoliopsida; Solanales; Solanaceae. The record is from RNAcentral.